ACGUAGGUGGCAAGCGUUGUUCGGAAUUAUUGGGCGUAAAGGGCGAGUAGGUGGCCAUCUAAGUCAGACGUGAAAUCCCCCGGCUUAACCUGGGAACUGCGUCUGAUACUGGACGGCUUGAGUAUGGGAGAGGAACGUAGAAUUCCAGGUGUAGCGGUGAAAUGCGUAGAUAUCUGGAGGAAUACCGGUGGCGAAGGCGGCAUCCUGGACCGACAUUGACGCUGAGGAGCGAAAGCUAGGGGAGCAAACGGGA
RNAcentral lists this ribosomal RNA (253 nucleotides) under uncultured prokaryote. Its description in RNAcentral is "partial 16S ribosomal RNA". It matches the Rfam family "Bacterial small subunit ribosomal RNA", at positions 525 to 777 of the family's 1533-position model. The record is from RNAcentral.